Non-coding RNA from Streptomyces sp. AcH 505, 75 nucleotides. The record is from Rfam. NCBI's taxonomy places the organism in Bacteria, Bacillati, Actinomycetota, Actinomycetes, Kitasatosporales, Streptomycetaceae.
CUUGACCGAGCCGAGCAGCAGCGCGCGCUCCGGGUCGCGGUCCUUGCCGUACGUGGCGAACAGCGCCUGCGCCUC